CCCUUAGAUGUUCUGGGCUGCACGCGCGCUACACUGAAGUGUUCAACGAGUAUUCACCUUGCCCGGGAGGGUUGGGUAAUCUUUUGAAAACGCUUCGUGAUGGGGAUAGAUUAUUGCAAUUAUUAAUCUUCAACGAGGAAUUCCUAGUAAGCGCGAGUCAUCAGCUCGUGCUGAUUACGUCCCUGCCCUUUGUACACACCGCCCGUCGCUCCUACCGAUUGAGUGGUCCGGUGAAUAAUUCGGACUGCAGCACUGCUUGGUCUCCAGGCUUUGCAGCGGAAAGUUUAGUGAACCUUAUCACUUAGAGGAAGGAGAAGUCGUAACA
Molecule: ribosomal RNA, 325 nt
Filed under: uncultured eukaryote
Lineage: Eukaryota
Description: partial 18S ribosomal RNA
Rfam family: Eukaryotic small subunit ribosomal RNA
Source: RNAcentral